RNAcentral lists this unclassified non-coding RNA (19 nucleotides) under Mus musculus (house mouse). Its description in RNAcentral is "oocyte_clustered_small_RNA392". The record is from RNAcentral. Lineage: Eukaryota; Metazoa; Chordata; Mammalia; Rodentia; Muridae.
AGGCGAGCUGGCGUGUGCG